ACAAUCUGCACGUAGUCAGAAGAUAGGAGAUCUAUUAGGAUACGGUCACGAUUUUUUCAAAACAUCCAGCAGUUUUUUUUUGUUUUGUUUUGUUUAGAGGAAUUUGUCCCCUUGCUUAUUUAUUCCUCGUUUUGUUGGCAGAUUGCUGUGUGCAAAUAAAUGUAGCUGUUGGCCAGUCUCACCUCGUGAAUGAAUCAUGAGUUCGAAUGGGGAACUAGGGCGGACACUGCAAACACCUGAACCAGACGUUUGGCGAGAAAAAUGUAUAGACGAGCUGUAGGGCAGCAAUGUGGAAAGAAUCAGCCGUAAAAAAAAAGGAGACGGGACAGAAAGAAUAAACAAACGAUGACGAACAAGAAGAGCCCAUGGUAAGUGCAUCACGCAACGGCGACAUUCGGUGCAUUUCCCACACGCAUCAGACAUAUGGCAAAUGUUACGUAGCAGCUCUUGGAUAUCUCCAAUCUUCUGACGAUUUUUGUUGUUUACCACUGCCGGCAAUUUACAUCGACAUUACGCAAUGAUAUGACUAAAAAAAAAAACGCAUGUUCGGCUCUUCCUUAUUUAUUGCGACCGAAGAGAAAAAGAAAAUGCGUGGCUAACACAUUUGACUUUUAAUACUUCGCUUUUUACAAGGUCGAUUUUGAAAGGCUUGCGGAAGACGACUCGAAUGUCCGACUUUGAUGUUUUCUUAUGUGUUGUUGUUGUUUAACUUUGAUUGAGUUUUGUUUGUAUAUACGAAAUCUUUAUUUUUAACAUCAGCUGAUGAAGGCCAACAUGACCUCCAACGCGAUACUCUUCGGAUAGUUACACGAUUGAUUUAUUUUCUUUUGAAGCUUCUUCUUUUUUUGUUUCUUGUUUUGUUUUUUCCUCGAUACGGGUGAUAAGACCGCGCUGAUAACCCACCAUAAGGACCCCAGUAAAGAAUUGUUUACGAAAA
Molecule: long non-coding RNA, 937 nt
Organism: Daphnia magna
Lineage: Eukaryota; Metazoa; Arthropoda; Branchiopoda; Diplostraca; Daphniidae
Exons: 2
Source: RefSeq, a predicted model, not a curated record